Molecule: ribosomal RNA, 476 nt
Filed under: uncultured bacterium
Lineage: Bacteria
Description: bacterial SSU rRNA
Rfam family: Bacterial small subunit ribosomal RNA
Source: RNAcentral
GAUGAACGCUAGCGGCAGGCUUAACACAUGCAAGUCGAGGGACGGUAGCAAUACUGGACCGGCAAACGGGUGCGGAACACGUACGCAACUUACCCAAACAGGUGAAUAGCCUUCGGAAACGAAGAUUAAUACACCGUAAGAUAUAGGAGUGGCAUCAUUUUUAUAUAAUAGCUCAGGCGGUUUGGGAUGGGCGUGCGCCUGAUUAGGUAGUUGGUGGGGUAACGGCUCACCAAGCCAACGAUCAGUAACUGGUGUGAGAGCACGACCAGUCACACGGGCACUGAGACACGGGCCCGACUCCUACGGGAGGCAGCAGUGAGGAAUUUUGGACAAUGGGGGAAACCCUGAUCCAGCAAUGCCGCGUGUGUGACGAAGGCCUUCGGGUUGUAAAGCACUUUUGGCGGGAACGAAACGGCGCUUUCUAAUACAGAGCGCUAAUGACGGUACCCGCAGAAUAAGCACCGGCUAACUACGUG